This 252-nucleotide ribosomal RNA is filed under the name uncultured bacterium. RNAcentral describes it as "partial 16S ribosomal RNA". It matches the Rfam family "Bacterial small subunit ribosomal RNA", at positions 524 to 776 of the family's 1533-position model. The record is from RNAcentral.
UACGUAGGUCCCGAGCGUUGUCCGGAUUUAUUGGGCGUAAAGCGAGCGCAGGUGGUUUAUUAAGUCUGGUGUAAAAGGCAGUGGCUCAACCAUUGUACGCAUUGGAAACUGGUAGACUUGAGUGCAGGAGAGGAGAGUGGAAUUCCAUGUGUAGCGGUGAAAUGCGUAGAUAUAUGGAGGAACACUGGUGGCGAAAGCGGCUCUCUGGCCUGUAACUGACACUGAGGCUCGAAAGCGUGGGGAGCAAACAGG